Molecule: ribosomal RNA, 529 nt
Filed under: uncultured bacterium
Lineage: Bacteria
Description: bacterial SSU rRNA
Rfam family: Bacterial small subunit ribosomal RNA
Source: RNAcentral
AUGGGCGCAAGCCUGAUCCAGCAAUGCCGCGUGUGUGAAGAAGGUCUUCGGAUUGUAAAGCACUUUAAGUUGGGAGGGAGGGCAGUAAAUUAAUACUUUGCUGUUUUGACGUUACCGACAGAAUAAGCACCGGCUAACUCUGUGCCAGCAGCCGCGGUAAUACAGAGGGUGCAAGCGUUAAUCGGAAUUACCUGGGCGUAAAGCGCGCGUAGGUGGUCGUUUAAGUCCGUUGUGAAAUCCCUGGGCUCAACCUGGGAAUGGCAGUGGAUACUGGACGGCUAGAAUGCGGUAGAGGGUAGUGGAAUUCCCGGUGUAGCAGUGAAAUGCGUAGAGAUCGGGAGGAACACCAGUGGCGAAGGCGGCUACCUGGACCAGCAUUGACACUCAAGCACGAAAGCGUGGGGAGCAAACAGGAUUAGAUACCCUGGUAGUCCACGCCCUAAACGAUGCGAACUGGACGUUGGGAGCAACUUGGCUCUCAGUGUCGAAGCUAACGCGUUAAGUUCGCCGCCUGGGGAGUACGGUCGCA